AACAUACUCCCUUCGUCCGAAAAUACUUGUCAUAAAAAUGAAUAAAAAAAGAUGUAUCUCGAACUAAAAUAUGUCUAAAUACAUCCAUUUAUAUCUAUUUUGAUGACAAAUAUUUUCGGACGGAGGGAGUACAAC
Molecule: non-coding RNA, 135 nt
Organism: Triticum urartu
Lineage: Eukaryota; Viridiplantae; Streptophyta; Magnoliopsida; Poales; Poaceae
Source: Rfam